UGGCCUUUUUCAAUGGGAAAAAUUAUUAGCACAAACAUAGUUUAGAUGUUACAUGUUACAUAAGACUUGAGCUUGAGCAACUAUCCUGCUAUAGGUAUAUAAAUUUCCUAAUUUUAAUCACAACAGCAGACAAGAACCUUCCUAAAGGGCAAACUCCCUUAUGCUGUGUUGUCCUUUCAUCUAUUUCAAAAUUUAACUUGUGCACAUGGGCACUGAAACAUUUUAUCAAUGCACAAUAAAAUAUUAAACACACACAAUAGUCUAGUUGGGAAUCCAAAUGCUUGACUUUCACACAUCAACAUACACCCAAAUCAUAGAACGGUUGUUCUGUCCGGAAAUGGAAAGAACAUCAACAAGUGACAUGCUCCAUCCACCCUUUGGACUGCUCUUCUCCUCAUGCCUCCCCUUCAAUCACUCACCAUAUUAAUAACACCUAAAUACGAAAACCACUUAUGAAUUAUACUGGCAUGCAAAACAUUGUAUACCGUGAAGCAUAGCAAUGCCACUAAGUAAGAUGGGAAUAGUGAUAUAAUUAGUUCAGGUUGCAGCCAUCGAAAGCAUACCGAUAACACGAAGAUAAACUAACAAUAAAUAUAUCAAUGCAUGUUCAUGACUGAAUUCACUCUAUUUCAGCAAGAAGUAAGAAAAUGUAACCACCUUAAGUAAAAAAUUAGAAUGAGCAAAAGCAUUAAUAUCCAUAAUACACACAUGUACUUUGAAGGUGAUUGUGUCUCAUGUAGCACCAAGGCCCGAACCACUAUGAUACUUACCAAAUUUCUUGAGCAUCUAAAUUUAAAGUAGCAAAGAAGAAAAUAAAAAAUUCUAAGUGAGAACAAUAGUAAUGCUUGACAAACAGUACCGUAUAUGGAAGUUGAUACACAAGAAAAGCUAGAAAACAAUAGAUCAAAUUGAAAAAUAAUGAUGCUAAUAAAAAAUUCAUGGACUUUUAUCAGCACAACCUGUUCCCCUAGCAACCACACGGAGUCAUCAAGCUGCAUUGGUUAAGGUGGGCCACAUGGUCCAAGCUUAGAAUUAUGAACCUGAGGGCAGCCUAUGGCUAGCAGAACAACAACAGUUGAUGCAAGGCCAUCAAUUUUGAUUGUUAAACUGGUUAGUUCAACACAAAAAAUUAGUAAUAUGAUGUUAAUCCAUGACAAAGUGAGGAGAAUAAAAUAGGCAAGGUGAUAACACGAUGCAAGGAUCGGACGACCGAACUGGCACAAUUGACCGAAAUGAGCAAGAUCGAACGGCCAACAAAGAUCCAAAUCAGGGGAGAGCUGUUAGGUAUAAAAUUGCUUUCCCUGGCUCAUAUAAAAUUAGAUACCCAGGUUGUUCACCAGCUCGUCGAAACAAUGGCCUAAAAUUAAAAGCUCUUUCUUAUGAGCCUGGACAAUUGUUUCUUCUCUCAGCCACUAAAAAUGGUUUAGAACAUGAUGUUGACAUGCUGCAACAUUACAUUGUUUUCCCAGUGUGCCAAGAUUGUCUAGCCCAUGCAUGCUAGUUAGCCCGACAAAGUAAAUUUUUGUUUCGGUACCAAACACCUAUCCUUACCCAGCGAAGACCAGUAGUUUGUUUGCUUUGGAAAUAAAUACGCCCUAAAUCAUCAUGCAUAAACUGGUUGAGUUAUGGAUGUGCCGAAUGAAAGGUUUAGCUAAAUACAUUACUAUAACACAGUAGUUCUGAAAUUAUUACAUGGAGUAAGCAUGCUAACCUCUCCAUCCUACAUUCCAGUAUUUCUUCGACAUUCAGACUAAGCUCCUGUCAAUUUCAGGCAGGCAAGAUAGUACUUCUUCUCGUGUUUCAACCUACAAAAAUGAUUGGAUGCACCCUAAGUGCAUACAACAUGAUGUCUGAACACAGUUUUAUUCAAAGCAUAUGAACAAAAUAUUAAUUGGACUAAUUGCUGCAAUCAUCUUCUGAACCUAAUCAAGGGAAACAACAUAGAGCAAAAAUCUUCAAAUAAUCACAUGGCCAAAGAGAAGCUAUCUAUGAAUCAAGCUUUCGGUCAAGAUGCACACCAAUAAAAAGCAUUAGUUUUAUAAGGUACAAACAACUGUACCUUGAAGCACAAUCAACAUGCUGGACCUAGCUCCUAAUUCCAUUUAGGAAUCAUCAUCUUCAUAAAGUAAUAAGUAAACUUGGUCAUCCAUGCACCGACUAUAGCCUGCUUGCUAAUUUCCACCUAUGUCACAAAUAAGACAAUGUCAUGUUCAAACUGAAGGUGAAAGCAGUAUACAUUCAGUUUCUAAUUUAUAUUAGUAAUAAAAAUCUCUAUAAAGAGGCAGACCAACCGCUGGAAAUAAACUGGCAUGGAACUAAAUCAGUGUCCACAAAACCAUAGAUAUGCAUGCUCAUCAAGAAUGUCAUACAUUUUACCAGAAUGGAAGCUUAGUUGGUGCUGGUGCUCUACCUCAAGAACCUCUAGCCCACACAACAGAAAUCCGUCCAUCUUGGCCAUGAAUUCACCUAAACAGGAAACAAAAUAUUUUUUUUCCUCAGACACAGUACACUGAAGAAACAAAAUUAUGCCAGCUGAACCGAUA
Molecule: long non-coding RNA, 2543 nt
Filed under: Triticum aestivum (bread wheat)
Lineage: Eukaryota; Viridiplantae; Streptophyta; Magnoliopsida; Poales; Poaceae
Description: long non-coding RNA (TAES_LNC010396)
Source: RNAcentral